This is a long non-coding RNA of Cornus florida, 16364 nucleotides long. RefSeq lists it as uncharacterized. The record is from RefSeq and is a predicted model, not a curated record. NCBI's taxonomy places the organism in Eukaryota, Viridiplantae, Streptophyta, Magnoliopsida, Cornales, Cornaceae. The transcript has 4 exons.
UUAUCUUGCCAGGUAAACACGAAAAAAAAAAAAAAAACCAAGGUGUUCCUCAGACAAUUCUACCCUUAGAGAGGUAGGAAGCACCUAUUACAGAUACAGCCACAAAAACUCAAAUAAUAUCCUGGAGGGGUACCCCUAGGCCCUAUAAUACAUUUGACCAACACCAUAGGCUGUCUAGCAUUUGCAGAAUGAAUCCCGCAACUCCUCUCAUUCCAGAGAUAAUACAGAGUAGCAGUGAAUACUACCCACCGAACCUUGUUCUUGAAAGAAAUUAGCAGCUAGCUGCAUUACCAGAUUUGUUACACACCUCUUGUAUCCCAACUAAGAAGCUCCCGUAAACCAUUCCAGACCUCCGUAGUAUACACACAUUGACAAAAAAUAUGGUCUGAAUUCUCCACAUUUUGAACCCAAGUUGUAUACUUUUUGGAUUUUUACUCAACUGAGAGCCACAGAGUUGUACUAGGGUUUACAGUUAAUUUCUUUUACAGUUCAAUUCAAAACUAAAAAUUCCCUCUUCUUUUAUUUUGUUGCAUUUUCUCAGUAACCAAACAGACACUAGGGUUUUAAAGAAAGGCGAAGUGAGAAUGAACACAAUCGCAGAGACGGUGUGGAGGGACAUCGGGUCAACCCGUUUAGGACCUUCUCUAUGUUCGCUUAUCUAUUACAAAUUCACAUUGUUUAAUUUCUCUCUUACUGGAUACUGAUUGUUAUAAUCUCUGUGUGUGUGUGUGUGUCUCUCUCUCUCUCUAUAUAUAUAUCUGCGGCGUCAACAUCUAUUGAUUUGGAACGGAGCAGUAACCGAUGAUCAGCUCUCCAUGUUUGUAUGUGCUUCUCUAUGCGUAUUUUGCCUCAAAUCAUAAUUGAUUAUGAAGCAUCAAUUGAUGUUUACAUAUAAAUUUAUUGCAAUAUGUGUGUGUGUGUGUGUGUGUGUUUCUGUAUCUGUAUUUUUCCUCAAUUAUAAUUGAUUAUGAAGCGUCAAUUGAUGUGUUUCUGUAUGUUUGUUUUUUGCCUCAAUUAUAAUUGAUUAUGAAACAUCAAUUGAUUUUUAAUUGCAACAUAUACAUACAACAUAUAUGUAUAUCUAUAUAUCAAUUUCAAACACUAAUCAUUUGCCACGUUAUAUAUUCAUAUAUAUGAAAAUGAAAAUCUGAUCUAAUUUACUGCUUUAUAUACGACUUACACUUUUUUUUGGGUAAAAACUUGGAGAGAGCGACUAGGAUAGUGGAUCAACGAGGUGUGAAGAGGAUAUCUGGUGAACCCAGUGGGUGUUCCGCCUUUGAGGUUGAUUGUGUACCGUUCCUUCCACAUUUUGUGAACAUAGGUUUUAAGUGUCAGCCUUUAAUUGCACAAAUUGAGAUUUUAUUCCACACCCGGCUCAAAAUUGGAGUUCAUUUGCCUUCAAAUUGUGAAUUUUUCAGUGAAAAUACAAAACACUUUUGAAGGUUUAAUUGGGUUUUAACUUCUAUUUAUUUGCUUUAGAAAUUUGAGUUAGACUUUUAUUAAUUUACCUUGAUUGACAAGUGAUUUGGAACAUUGCUUUCGUUUUUCUUGCAAAAAUAAGGUAAAUUAAAAUUGGGUUGUCAUUUAUAUACUCUGCUUUAGGUUGUGGGAGAAUCUCAGAAGAAGGAGGAAUAUUUCUGCUUCACGGAACACUAUUGUGCUUGUUUUUCAUUAUUCUAAGACAUUGUGAACAGAGGAGAACAACUUUGUGUGAGUUUUAUAUGUCUUCUUUUAGUUCUAGUUACAUUUGUCAUUUGUUGGGAUUCUCUAUUUUUUUGUGUUGGUAGCAGUAUAGUGCACCAAAGCCAUCGUAUUGUCUGCCAAGUUUGUUAAGAUUUCACUAGAGAUGCUUACAAUCCUCAGUAAUGUUUUCUCCAUUCUUGAAGAGAUGGGAGGAGGGUGUGCAUUCCUUGCGGCAGCGACUUCAGAUUCUCACAACUCCCAACAAGAAAGAAGGUCAUAUUGAGAACGGGUAGUCCUCCUAGGGCAAAGGAUACCAUUCUAGGGCAAUCCUUUAUUCUUAACAAACUCCAUGAAAGCGUUGGGAAGAAGCCUAACAACAGUGACAUGAGAAGAUCACAACUUUUGGUUAUCUCCGAAACAGCAAUGGAUGUGCGGUGGCUAUGCUCCAUCUCCUCCGGCAGGGGAAACUCUAAACUUCUACAACCCUGUAUCAGAAGUAAUUUCAAUGUAGGAGGAGGUAGAUCACCAAAGGGGAAAGACACCUGAAGAAGAGAUGAACAAUUAUAGGUGUGCAACUCUUCAAGGCAAAUAUUGUUGAUGGCCAUCAUCAUAUUCAUAUUCAUUCUCUCUGCUGAUGAUGCUACUGUUAUGGUCUGUAGAGCAUCACAUUCAUUGAUAAUUAGAAUCUUAAGCAUCAGCUCCCACGUCCAAAUUGCAUGAGUCUCGGACAUUUCUCUAUGUCCAACUGUUCAUGUUUUAUUAAUCUGGGACAUUCCGGAGGCAAUUCCUUCAAGUUUGGCAUCCUUGAAAUCUCCAAUUUCUAAAGAGAAGACAGUGUUUUGCAAUUCUGGCGGCAAUUCUAUCAAGUUUGUCAUCUCUGACAUCUCCAAUUCUUGAAGAGAAGGCAGGCCUUGUAGAAACAGCCCAACUUGAUUGGACAGGAGCCUUUGACAUUUGAAAAUAUCAAGUUUCCUUAGAGAUGGAAAGCGGAUGGAUAAUUCACCGAUCAACUUGGGACAAUCAACCAAAGAAAGCUCUAAAAGGCAAGAGAACUCUCCAGCCCCUAAUGCAUGCCAUUCCUCCCACUCUUCCAUUUGCUUAAAGCUUAGUGUCUCUGGAGAUUAAAAUGGUUUGAUCGAAGAAGAAGGCAUCCCCAUAGAACUCUCGACCCACAUUUGUUAUUGCUUUCAUUCCUUCAAUUCUUAGAUAUUUAGAGAGGGUAGCUGCCCAAUUGAUGCCAAUGAAUAGCAAUUUGCACGGUCUAUAAGUUCUAAGGACACCAUGUUGCAAGAUAAAUUAGCUCCCUAUGACCAAUCCGGAAAUUUUGUGCUCCCAUAGUUGAAGAUGCUGAGAGUCUUCAACCCUUCAUGAGGUUGUAGCUUGUCAAGUACAUCUCUUUCCCUUAUUGAAUCAUCCGUAUCGCCACCCCAUUUCAAUACUAAUCCUUCAACAUGUUUCUUGUUGGUCUCUGAUGCAUCCUGACCACUUACUACAUUUUCCAGCCCUAAAAUAUUGAGUUUUCUCCUAAGAUGGCAGAGUUCCUUCAACCCACUAAUCCUUGACUCAUCAUUCUUGCAAACUACAAAAUAUAUUAAAUGCUGGAGAUCUUUCAGCCUGCUCAUUUGUGUUGGAAUUUCAACCAUUCUAGUUCCUUUGACAUCAAGAUGACGCAAGUUUAUUAGUUUUCCCAUGUUCACAGGCAAAUCAGUCAGACAUUCACAAUAUGAAAAAUCAAAUAUUUGUAAAUGGCACAAGAUUGUUUCAGAAUUAGGUAACUUCUUGAUUCUUGUCUCAGAAAGAUCUAAAUAGCGUAAAUGUAACAAAUUUUUUUGAGGCAAUUUAGAAAUCUGAUAGUUUGACAAAGAUAGAACCUUUAAGCAUCUCAAGAUUGGGAACAUAUCAUGUAGUACCUUAUUGCCUGAGAAACAAUAUCGACAUCCGGUUCUUUAAUAUGACAUGAAUGUGCUCAAACGCUUAACCUCACUAAUAACCUUGAAUUCUCAAAUGCAUCUUACCACAAACAUAUGAAAAAUGAUAAACUUUUUCAAAUAUGUGAACAAAUGGCUUGUCAUAAUCUAGCCUAGAAUAGUUGUCAAAAAAAAUAAUCUAGCCUAGAACGAAAGCCUCAAGACAUAUCUUGUGCUAAGUCAUUGAUCAAGUCCUGCAUUACAAAAUAAGAAUUGGUGACAACUUGACUUAGUCUUUGAAGAAAGACCUCGAUAAUAAUUCACGAAAGUAGUUGUUACCUUCAUCUCCCACGGAAUUGUUGUUUAUAGGUUGCUGAACAAGAUAUAAGGCUAUCCAUAUCUGGACUAACCUUUUCUUUUCAAAUUUGUGAUCUUUUGGAAAUAUCGAACUGUAAGCAAAGCAUCGCUUUAAUUGCGAACCAAGAUAAUGAUAACUCAAUUUUAGAGCUAGAGGAAUGCUACAAUCUAAACCCCAUAUCUCGUGUUUUAAUAUAUCUUCCCAUUCUUCAGUUUCCAAUUUAGACCGCAAGAGACCUUCAGGUGAUUUUACUGCAAAAGGUAGGCCACCACACUUGUUCACAAAUUAUCUUCCAAUACUCACUAGCUCAGGAUAAGCCAUGCAAUCUCCAUUCACAAAUGCAUGCUUUGCAAAGAAUGUCCAACAAUCUUCAAACGACAAUUACUCCAAGGGAUGACUAGGAAUGUGCGCAUUAUUGACUCCACUGCUUGUCGUUACAAUGAUCCUAAUUUCCUGUGCUCCAGCUCUUAAAGGUCUUCUUAGUGUGUCCCAAUCAAUGUAAUUGUCAUUCCAAACAUCAUCUAAAUCAUUUAGAAAUUUCUCCUUGCCACGUUCUCUUUCAACUUGGUCUAAAGUUGAUCGAGACUCUUGAUGUCCUUGUUUGAUGAGGUGACAUCGUAAAAAAAUUUCUUUGUUAUCAUGGAAAUAUCAAAUAUAUCAAAAACACAAACCCAUGAUUUAACAGGAAAAUUGUCAUUUAUUCUGUAUCAUUGUAUACAAACUGGGUAAGGGUCGUCUUGCCCAUCCCUCCCAUGCCAACAAUGGGGAUCUCAUUCCCAGUUGUGUUGCUAGACAACAACAAUUGAAUUUUCUUCUCUUUGUCUUCCUUCCUACCACAUACCUCAUCUUCAUAUACCAAAGAUGAGGUUGGCAGUGAUGGUUUCCUUUCAACAUCAUCUCUUAAUUUAAGAGAUUUUUUUUUUUUUUUUUGCUAAAAAUACACUCCAACUUACUAAUGAUCACUUUUAUUGAGGACUCAAUCUCAUCAUUAGACAAAUAAACGGAAGUCGAGACCAAUGGAUUGAUGCAAAAUAAAGAUUGCUUGAUCAAACUUAAAAAUUGACUGAAACCAACCUAUUUUAUGUUGCUUUGGGUUAGGGACUGAUUAUGAUCAACUUCUUCCAACUUGUCCCUUAGGGCUUUGUUUGCAAUUUCAUCUAGCAAGCCGUCAGCUUGGUGGAUAACAUGUUGAAGCUCCUUGAGCCAUGCUUUCACAGAUUUGUUGUUGAUCUGCUUGUUGUCCGCAUCAUCCAGGAGUGGUUGGAGGGCUAACAAGGUUGUCUGCAGCUUGUUUCCGAGUCCAUCAUCAAACGUCCGUUUGGACAAUAUGUGUACGAGCUCGCGAGAACCCAACCGAUCAGAUAGAAUUUGAAGGAAAGCUGAAACAAAUGCUCCACCCACCACUUCUCCAGUAAUGUUCUUUUCUUCUCGAGAGUAGCUAUAAAGAGGGAAAUUAGCUGUGAAGAAGAGCUCUUAGAUCUAGAAAGAGAGAUCAGAUAUACUUAGCAGUGCGAAGAGCCUUUAGAGUGAAAGUGAGAUCAUGGUAGUGAAGAGCCUUUAGAGACCAGAGAGACUUAUGUGAGAUAUAAAUUUUGUAAUUGUCCAAUUUCGUUGUCAAAACGUGUCUGAUUGAGUUGUAAUUUUUGUUUUAUUUUGAGUCUUGAUGUCGGAAGCAAAAUAACAAGUGCACGCAUACUUCGAUUCGGUGAGAACAUCAUUUAGAACAGGUAUGCGCGUGAGGACACAUUGCAAAUAUGUAUUUUAGGUUGGUGGAGACUGCAUUGGAUUUUUCAGGGUCAAAACAGUCUUAUUUUUGCUCUUUGUAAAAGUACAACCGGUUGCACUUUUAAACAGAACUGGUUGCACUUCAUGCAGAGCAAAUUGCAGCUCUCAGCCAAAAUAGAAUCGGUUGCGUUUUCCUGAAUGUGCGAUAUUUUAGUUUUGCUAACUUUUUAGUUUCCUGAUUUACUGAAACUUUUAGAGAAGUCGUCGUACGAUUUUAAAACAUCUUUCUAUAUAUUUUGAGGACUCUCUAGUCUAUAUAAACCUCUCAAAUUUCCACCCUUGUUGGAAUUUUUAAUGCUUCAAUUAGGAAACACAAGGAUUCAUCUUUUUCACAAUUGUUGAAGCUUUUUGAGAGAGAUUUUAGGAGAAAUUUGAUUUAGAUUUUUGAGAGCACACACUUAAACACACGAGUGAUUUAUGGUGAUGUUCUUAAUCUGAUCGGAUCAAUACUGAAGAUUCAAAGGUUGCAUCCAGAAGUAGGGUUUGAUCUUCAACUACAAUUUCAAAUCAAGUUGAAAGGAGGAAUCAAUCACACUACGAAGGGGUCGGAGCAUUUGCAGAGUGUUCGUGAUCUACCAACAAUCCUUCUACAAGGAUCAAGGUAGUAAGCCUAAAAUCUAGAGCGUUUGGACGGGGGAGUCGCAAAGCCAGAGAGAUAUUCAACAAUUGGUUCUUGGUAUAGCGGAUUUGGUGUAAGCCUGAGUCAGAGUCCAUUGUACUUUGCUUCGAUGAUAAUGAACCCACUCGAUAUUGCGAAAAUCUUCGUGGUUUUCAUCCCAGUUGGUCGGAUUUCUUCCAACAAGGGUUCUAUGCAAAAAUCCUUGGUGUCAUGUCUCAAACUUUAUUUGCACUUUAAUUUUUUGAUGUUCGUUUUAUUUUGGUAAAAUUAAAAUAAGCAAAGAUUGGUAAAAAGAGCAAGUUAAACCUGUUCACCCCAUUCUAGGUUAUUUUUACAUCAAACCUCCACAUCCAUUCCACAUAACGCAACUCAUAGUUGGUAUCAGAGCUGGUUUUCUAAACAGUGAGUUGUUUCGUAUGGAAGUCCUUUUCAAAAAUAAAAAUUAUUUUUUAUUUAAAAAAUUAUCAUGGAAAAUCCCGUGAGACAGGGUGAAUUAAAUUCUCGCUUGGCUAGGAAAUUCAGAAAAUCUCUAAGGAAUGAAAAGAUUGAAAAUUUUAGAAAAGAGAAUUUUUAUAAAUUUCAUAGUUGUGGAAAAAGUAUUAUCAUCUAUAGGAAAGAAUAGGAAACAUAAAAGAAAAGAGGUACAUAAAUUGCUUCAGGAGACCAAUGUUGAAUUUCAGAAUCUUCAGGGUAAGAUAAGAAUUUUCGAAAGUGAGGUAAGUCAAGCUAAUUCUGCUAGAGAAUCUCUUGUUGCUAGAGUUGCUUUUAUUGAACUUGAAUUGAAAAAGUCACUACAGAAAUUGAUUGCUUCUACUUCUGGGCAGAUUAAGCUUAAUGAGAUGAUUAGUGUUUCUGUAGGACAGAAGAAUGGAUUAGGUUUUGAUGAGGCUUGAACUAGUAAGAAGGGUCAUAUUGUUUUUGUUAAACCCAUGAACAUGAAUGUGCAUAUUUCUAAACCUAAAUAUGUUGUUGACCCUAUGCAUGCUAAGAAUGUGUACACGAUGUUUUAUUGUUCUUAUUGUGGUAUAACUGGACAUAGUCACGCUAUAAAAAGAAAAUAUUUUUUUCUUGAAUUUCAUGGUUAUAAUUCCUUUGCACAAAAUAGUUUUCAUGCUAGAAAGUAAAAUAAUUGGAAUAAACCUAGAAAUUUUCAUGCCAAAAGGAAUUCAAAUAAGAAAAAGAAUGCUCUUGAUGUUCCUUAAAAAUUUCUUCACAAGUUGAAUGUUAAAACAAAUUUGGAUGAAGAAAGAGGAUUUGAAGUUGUAUGUGCAUGUUGAUGCUAUGGGACUUAUUUCCAAUAGGUGUAUGGGUGCAAACCCCCCAACUAGAUUGUAAGGAGUUUUUAUGGUUAUGGACUGUGCUAAGAUGUUUAUUUUGUUUCCAUUGAACCAGAUCUUGUAUUUUAGGAUAAGGUUUUUAUUUUAUUAUUUUUUAUUUUAUGAGAAUGUGAAGAUCAUGUUUUUCUUUGUUUAUACAUGAGUGAUAUUGAUUUCUCUUAAAUUUAUUAUAUCUUUAUAAAUGCAAAUUGGGACACAUGAUUAUCUGAUGAAUGAAAUUCUUGAUGUGUAAUCUAUACUUAUGAAAAUCAAUUUGCUAUAUUUAUCUAUUUUUAGAGACAUGUCUCUUAAGUUCAUAUGUUUGAGCACUAGUCCUCAAGUUCAUAUGUUUGAGCACUAGUCCUCCAACUCUGAGAAAAUUAAUUGAAAAUCAUUGAGAAGUUGAUUAGAUCACAUUGUUUAGAGAAGCUAUAAAGGUUAUUGCUAAAAAAAAAAAAGGGCAUAUAUUUAUAAAAAAUAAAAAUAAAAAUUUCAGCAUGAAAAAAAGAAAAGAAAAAUCAAUUGAUGUGCUGAAAAUCUUUGCUAAGGAAAAGGCUACCUAUUGAGAUUAGUUCGAAAGCUCCUAAGACUUUGAAGUGAAGCAAAUUGAGUAAAAAGAAAGGAGGAGACAAGUCAAAAUAGGGAAUUGCUGUCUACUCAUUAGAGUGAAAGCCGCCUUGCUUAGAAAAAAAAAAAUGUUUAAUAAGCUCAAGCAAUUUUAUCUUGAUGCUUUUUAUCCAAUGUGCUUUAGUUAAUUGAUAAAUGAUAUUUGAUUAAAUUUUGAUGAUGUUGGAUUGCACACACACACAUGAGCUUGCUAGGCAAAUUUCUAAAUUUUUAUAAAUACCACAAGUUUGGGAUUCAUGUUGUGAUUAUAUGUUUGAGAAUGGAUUUUGUUGCAUAAUAUGUGGUCUUAAAAUUUUGUUUUCAUAAAGUGUUUUGAAUAUUUGAGAAAUUUGUGGUCCUCGUAUAUGAGAUUGUUCUCAUCAUUAAAGUUGUCUUGUUUUUAAUAUUCAAAAAAGAAUUUUUUUCCUUUAAAUCUUGAAAAAUUCCAAAAAGAUUUUGUUUUAUCUUUAGAUAGGAAUUUUAUUUGUAUUUAAAGUUUUUUUUUUUUUUUUGGGUGCUUUUAUGCUGCCCCAUGCGUUUUGUUCUUAUAUGUGUUCAUGCGAUUUGAAUGGCAAAAACAUCAGUUUUUAUGUUUUUCGCUCGUUCCAGUUUUGGUGCAGUUUAACUUAAGUCACUUAUGCAUGUCAUGUGCCAAAUUUAAGACACCAUUGCACACCCUAGACACCUCCAAGUGCCACCACUUGUUCCCAUUCGCCUUUGGAUGCAUCGGUAAGACAUUGCUAGUUUUUCUUCUUUAAUCAUAAGUUUAGAUCUUUUAUUGCAUUUUGAUGCUAGAAAUGUAAAUAAUGAUUCACUGAACCAGUUUGGGAAAAUCAUGAGGAUUUGGUUGAUUUUGGGUGAUUCAUUGCAUUUGCGGUGAUUGGAUAAACAUUGUUUAAGAUUUUUUGAGGCUGUGUUCAUAUUUUUGGAUUGAAGUCAUAGGAGUCGACUUUUAAACUUGAGGUUAGAAUUAAUGCAUACAAGUGUUUGAAAUAUUGCAUCAACCAAGUUUUCUUAUAGCCCAUUUUUUUUUGACAUGUUCUUGUAAUGGCUUCAAGAAGACUAAGGUUCAUGAUUUGGAAUUGUGAUUGUGGUGAAAAUUGAUGUAAUAGCUCAAGUCAUUAAAGUUAAUUUGAAUGAUCUUGAAGCUUUUGAUCUUGGAUGCUUAGGUGUUUAUGAUUUGGUUUUAGUGACAUUGAGGAUAUUGAUUGUUAAAUAUAGUUUUGGAGAUAUUUUGAUGAUCAUGUCUAUAUUUGGAUGUUUUAUUUAGUGAUGCUAUUUUGACGAUGAUAAUUAUUUGUGGAUAGAUUUUUUAACGAGGGAGAUGGAUACAUGUAGGUAUUUAUGUGAAUGAUGGAUGAUUUUAUUUUCAUGCUUAUCUCUUAUAUUGUUCAUAUAUGUCCAUCUUGUGUGAACUUUUAGCUCAAUUUUCGAUUGGUAUUGAUAUCCUCUAUUAGUUUGUUCUUUUCUUCCUUUUAUGCAUAGUUUGUCAGUUUCUUACAAAAGGGGGGAGAAGAUGUGGGAUGUAAAAAUGCAACUCACAGAAGAGGUACUUUAUGUUCAAGGGGGAGAUAUCAUGUGUAAUUUUGAGCAUAUUGUUUCUAUUUGUUUUGUAGAUGGAACAUGUGUUAAAUAGCUUUCUUUUGUUCCACUUCUACUAUAUAUUCAUGUUUUUAUGCUUAUUGGUCUAUCUUAUGCAUGGUUGAUAGUAUUAUUCCUCUUCAGUGUUUAUUCUCUCUUAUUAUUAUUAUUAUUAUUUUUAUUUUUAUUUUUUUUCAUUUUUUGUUAAGCUUUAUUUGUCAAUUUGUAGUAAAAAGGAGAGAAGUGGUAUAUCUUUGAGGGGGAGAGUUACUGAUGUUGAUAUUGAUAUCUUUAUAUUUUAUUUUUCAUGAUUAAGCUUUCAUUGUUUAGCAUUGUGCUGGUUUACAGGUUAUUUCCACUGAACACGUGCUCUGCUACCCUAAUGAACCUUCGUUCCAUUUUAUUUAUUUAUUAUUAUUAUUGUUUUCUAUUUUGACAAUCAAUGUAAUUUACUUUUCCUGUUUGAGUUAGAUUACAUGUUGUCUAGGGGUCUUGUCACGAUAUUGUCAAAGGGGGAGAUUGUGAGAUAUAAAUUUUGUAAUUGACUAAUUUCGUUGUCAAAACGCGUCGGAUUGAUUUGUAAUUUUUGUUUUACUUUGAGUCUCAAUGUUGGAAACGGAACAACAAGUGCAAGUAUACUUCGAUUCGAUGAGAACAUCAUUUAGAGUAGGUAUGUGAGUGAGGACACAUUGCACAUUUGUAUUUUAGGUUGGUGGAGAGUGCGUUCAAUUUUUCAAAGUCAAAACAUUCUUAUUUUUGCCCCAUGCAAAAGUACAACUGAUUUUACUUUAAAACAGAACCAGUUUCACUUUCUGAAAUCAGAAAUGGUCUCGGCAAAAACAAAACCAGUUGCAUUUUGCUGAUUGUGCGAGAUUUCAGUUUUUGGUAACUUUUUAGUUUCAUGUGAAACUUUUAGAGAAGUCCUUAUGCAAUUUUAAAACAUCUUUUCAUAGAUUUUGAGGACUCUCUAGUCUAUAUAAGCCUCUCAAAACUUCAACCAUAGUAGGGAUUUUUAAUGCUUCAAUUGGAAAAAUAAGGACUCGUCUUUUACACAAUCGUUGAAGCUUUUUGAGAUAGAUUUUCAAAGAAAUUUGAUUUAUAUUUUUGAGAGCACAUACUUAAACACACGAGUGAUUGAGGGUGGUGUUCUUAAUCUGAUCCGAAGAUUCAAAGGUUCCAUUCAGAAGCAGGGUUUGAUCUUCAACUACAAAUUCAAAUCAAGUUAAAAGGAGUAAUAAAUCACACUACGAAGGGGUCAAAGCAUUCACGGAGUGUUCGUGAUCAAUCAGCAAUCCUUCUACGGGGUUCAAGGGAGUAAGCCUGAUGCCUAGGCGUUUGGACAAGGGAGUCGCAAAGCUUGAGAGACAUUCAACUAUUUGUUCUUUGUAGAAUGGAGUUGGUGUGAGCCUGAGUUAGAGUCCAUUGUACUUUGCUUUGAAUAUAGUGGAUCAUUUCGCUCGAGACUGCGAAAGUCUCCAUGGUUUUCAUCCCAGUUGCUCAGAUUUCUUCCAACAAGGGUUUCCACGCAAAAAUCCCUGGUGUCAUCUCUCAAACUUUAUUUACUUUACUGGCACUCUAAUUUUGCUUUGUGGGUUGAUGAUCGUUUUAUUUCGAAAAAAAUAAAAUAAGCAAAAUGUGGUAAAAAGAGCAAGUUAAACCUAUUCACCCCCAUUUAGGUUAUUUUUACAUUAAACGUCCAUUCCGCAUAGCGCAACUCACAACUUAGUAGUGAUAGAGAUCAGAUAGAGACUUGGCAGUGAAGAGCCUUUAGAGAAGUGAAGAAUCUUUAGAGAUUGAGCCACUUGAAUGUUGAAUUUGGUGGUUAAGAACGAUUAGACUUUUGUUAAUUUACCAUUAAGCUUUACUUCAUCCUUCUUAACCAUCUCUAAAGACUCUUCACUGCUAAGUCUCUUUGAUCUCUAAAGGCUCUUCACUCCCAGUCUCUCUAUUUGAUCUUCGUCUUUAAGUCUCUCUAAUCUCUAUCACCGCUAACUCUCUCUGACCUUUAGAGGCUCUUCACUGCCAAGUCUUUGAUCUCUCUCUCUCUCUCUAAAGGCUUUCACACUGCUAAGUCUCUUUGAUCUCUCUUUCUAGAUCUAUGGGGCUCUUCUUCACAGCUAAUUUAUAGCUACUUUGUAGAAGAAAAGAACAUUGCUGAAGAAGUGGUGGGUGGAGCAUUUCUCUCAACUUGCCUUCAAAUUCUAUUUGAUCGGUUGGCCUCUCGCGAGUUCGUACGCAUAUUUUCCAAACGCAAGUUUGAUGAUGGACUCAGAAACAAGCUGCAGACAACCUUGUUGACCCUCCAACCACUGCUGGAUGAUGCGGACAACAAGCAGAUCUCCAACAAAUCUGUGAAAAUUUGGCUCAAGGAGCUCCAACAUGUUAUCCACCAAACUGAUGACUUGCUGGAUGAAAUUGCAACCAAAGCCCUAAGGGACAAGUUGGAAGAUGCUGAUCAUGAUCAGUCCCUAACGCAAAGCAGCAAAAAAUAGGUUGGUUCAGUCAAUUUUUUAAGUUUGAUCAAGCAAUCUUUGUUUUCCAUUAAUCCAUCGGUCUCGACUUCCGUUUAUUUGUCUAAUGAUGAGAUUGGGUCCUGGAUGAAAGUUAUCAUUAGUAAGUUGGGAGUGUUUUCUUGAGCAAACAAAAUCUCUUAAAUUGAGAGAUGAUGUUGAAAGGAAACCAUCACAAAGGCUGCCAACCUCAUCUUUGGUAUGUGAAGAUGAGGUUUGUCGUAGGAAGUACGACAAAGAGAAGAUAAUUCAAUUAUUGCUGUCUAGCAACACAACUGGGAAUGAGAUCCCUUUGAUCCCCAUUGUUGGCAUGGGUGGGAUGGGCAAGACAAACCCUGCCCAGUUCGUAUACAAUGAUGGUAGAAUAAAUGACAAUUUCCUAUUAAAUCAUGGGUUUGUGUUUUUGAUACAUUUGAUAUUUUCAUGAUAAGAAAAUUUUGGACGAUGUCACCUCAUCAAACAAGGACAUCAAGAGUCUCGAUCAACUUUAGACGAAGUUGAAAGAGAAUGUGGCAAAGAAGAAAUUUCUAAAUGAUUUAGAUGAUGUUUAGAAUGACAAUUACAUUGAUUGGGACACACUAAGAAGACCUUUUAGAGCUGGAGCACAGGAAAGUAGGAUCAUUGUAACGACAAGUAGUGGAGUCAAUAAUGCGCACAUUCCUAGUCAUCCCUCAGAGUAAUUACCUUUUGAAGAUUGUUGGUCAUUAUUUGCAAAGCAUGCAUUUGUGAAUGGAGAUUGUAUGGUUUAUCCUGAGCUAGUGAGUAUUGGAUGAGAAAUUGUGAACAAGUGUGGUGGCUUACCUUUAGUAGUAAAAUCACUUGAAGGUCUCUUGUGAUCUAAAUUGGAAACUGAGGAAUGGGAAGAUAUAUUAGAACACAAGAUAUGGGGUUUAGAUCGCAGCAUUCUUCCAGCUCUAAGAUUGAGUUAUCACAUUAUCUUGGUUCGCAAUUAAAGUGAUGCUUUGCACACUGUUCGAUAUUUCCAAACGAUCACUGAUUGGAAAAGAAAAGGUUAGUGCAGUUAUUGAUAGCCUUAUAUCUUGUUCAACAACCUAGAAACAACAAUUCCGUAGGAGAUGAAGGUAACGACUACUUUCGUGAAUUAUUAACAAGGUCUUUCUUUCAAAGACUAAGUCAUCUUGUCACAUAUUCUUAUUUUGUAAUGUAUGACUUGAUCAAUGACUUAGCACAAGAUAUAUCUGGAGGCUUUCGUUCUAGGCUAGAUUAUGACAAGACACUUGUUCACAUCUUUGAAAAAGUUUGUCAUUUUUCAUAUGUUUGAGGUGAGUACGGUGCAUUUGAGAAAUUCAAGGUUAUUAGUGAGGUUAAGCGUUAGACCAAAUUCAUGUCAUAUUAAAGAGCCGGAUGUCGAUAUUGUUACUCCGGCAAUAAGGUACUACAUGAUACGUUCCCAGUCUUGAGAUGCUUAAAGGUUCUAUCUCUGUCAAACUAUUAGAUUUCUAAAUUGCCUCAAAAAAAUUUGAUACAUUUAUGCUAUUUAGAUCUUUCUGAGACAAGAAUCAAGAAGUUACCUAAUUCUGUAACAACCUUGUGCCAUUUACAGAUAUUAGAUUUUUCACAGUGUGAAUGUCUGACUGACUUUCCUGUGAACAUGGGAAAACUGAUAAACUUGCGUCAUCUUGAUGUCAAAGGAACUAGAUUCAUUGAAAUUCCAACACAAAUGAGUAGGCUGAAGGAUCUCCAACAUUUAACAUAUUUUGUAAUUUGGAAGUAUGAUGAGUCAAGGAUUAGUGGGUUGAAGGAACUUUGCCAUUUUUGGGGAAAACUCAAUAUUUUAGGGCUGGAAAAUGUAGUAAGUGGUCAGGAUGCAUCAGAGGCCAAUAUGAAAGAUAAGAAACAUCUUGAAGGAUUAGUAUUGAAAUGGGGUGGCUAUACGGAUGAUUCAAUAAGGGAAAGAGAUGUACUUGACAAGCUACAACCUCAUGAAGGGUUGAAGACUCUCAGCAUCUUCAACUAUGGGAGCGCAAAAUUUUCGGAUUGGUCAUAGGGAGCUCAUUCAUCUUGCAACAUGGUGUCCUUAGAACUUAUAGACCGUGCAAAUUGCUAUUCAUUGGCAUCAGUUGGGCAGCUACCCUCUCUAAAAUAUCUAAGAAUUGAAGGAAUGAAAGCAAUAACAAAUGUGGGUCGAGAGUUCUAUGGGGAUGCUUCUUCUUCGAUCAAAACCAUUUUAAUCUCCAGAGACACUAAGCUUUAAGCAAUUGGAAGAGUGGGAGGAAUGGCAUGCAUUAGGGGCUGGAGAGUUCUCUUGCCUUUUAGAGCUUUCUUUGGUUGAUUGUCCCAAGCUGAUCGGUGAAUUAUCCAUCCACUUCCUAUCUCUAAGGAAACUUGAUAUUUUUGAAUUUCAAAGGCUCCUGCCCAAUCAAGUUGGGCUGCUGCUGCAAGGCCUGCCUUCUCUUCAAGAAUUGGAGAUGUCAGAGAUGACAAACUUGACAGAAUUGCCCCCGCAAUUGCAAAACCCUGUCUUCUCUUCAGAAAUUGGAGAUUUCAAGGAUGCCAAACUUGAAGGAAUUGCCUCCGGAAUUGUCCCAGAUUAAUAAAACUUGAACAGUUGGACAUAGAGAAAUGUCUGAGCCUCAUGUCAUUUUUGGACGUGGGAACUGAUGCUUAAGAUUUGGAUUAUCAAUGAAUGUGAAGCUCUACAGACCAUAAUAGUAGCAUCAUCAGCAGAAGGAAUGAAUAUGAAUAUGAUGAUGGGCAUCAACAAUAUUUGUCUCGAAGACUUGCACAUCUAUAAAUGUUUAUCUCUUCUUCAGGUGUCUUUCCCCUUUGGUGAUCUACCUCCCUCCUACAUUGAAAUUACUUUUGAUAGAGGGUUGUAGAAGUUUAGAGUUUCCCCUGCCGGAUGAGAUGGAGCAUAGUCACCACACAUCCAUUGCUGUUUCAAAGAUAACCAGAAGUUGUGAUCUUCUCAAGUCAUUGUUGUUAGGCUUCUUCCCAACGCUUUCAAGGAGUUUGUUUAGAAUAGAGGAUUGCCCUAGAAUGCUAUCCUUUGCCCUAGGAGGACUGCCCACUCUCAAUCUGACCUCCUUUCUUGUUGAGAGUUGUGAGAAUCUGAAGUCGCUGCCGCAAGGAAUGCACACCCUUUUCCCAUCUCUUCAAGAAUUGUCGAUACAUAACUGUCCUGAAGUUGAAUCAUUUCCAGAUGGAGGUUUGCCAAUUAACCUACGUGUCAUUGACAUCCAUUAUUGCAAGAAACUGAUGAAGGUCCGGAUGGAUUGGGUUUUGCAAACACUCCCAUCUCUUGGAGGAUUCAAUAUUAGCGGUGAAUCCUUGUCAGAAGUAUUGUUGGAAUCAUUUCCGGAGGAGUGGCUAUUGCCCACCACUCUUACCUAUCUUGACAUCAGUUUUCUUCCAAAUCUCAAGAAACUCAACCACAAGGGCCUUCAACACCUCACCUUUCUUACACAUCUAUACAUCACUAAUUGCCCUGAGCUCCAGUCCUUGCCAGAAGAGGUGCUGCCCGACUCUUUCUCUUUCCUGAUUAUACGGGAACGUCCAUUGCUGUAACCACGUUUCCAAAGGGAGAAAGGGGAAGAUUGGCCCAAUAUUUCUCAAAUCUGCCACAUAAGGAUCGAUGGUGAAGAGAUAGUAAAAAUUCUGCCACAUAAGGAUUGAUGGUGAAGAGAUAGUAAACUUGGAGUGACAGACACUCAUGCAUGCUCGAAUUGGAUUCCUCUGGUUUCUAUUCCAUUCAGGCUGUCAAUGCCAGUGGUAUUAUGGCCAUGCCCAGAUGAUCAAGUUUCAACUUUCUCCACAUUGAUGGUUCCACAGAAACUCCAAUUUUCCAUCAGCUAAAAACCACCCUUAGGUCUCUGUUUGAUUCUCAGAAACAAUGAUGAAAGGCAAAGGAAAAUGGAAAAAGAAGGCAGAAAUUAAAGAAACUAGUUCAUAGAUUUUCAAUGGAUUCUCCAAAGAACUGCUUAACAUCUGGUUUUGCGUGAAACUUGCAGUGUUAGUGAGGGAAACAUUGAUCUCAGG